GGUGGGGUUUCCGAGCGGCCAAAGGGAGCAGACUGUAAAUCUGCCGUCAUCGACUUCGAAGGUUCGAAUCCUUCCCCCACCACCA
This 85-nucleotide transfer RNA is filed under the name Escherichia coli. Its description in RNAcentral is "tRNA-Tyr(gta)". It matches the Rfam family "tRNA". From Rfam's summary of the family: Transfer RNA (tRNA) molecules are approximately 80 nucleotides in length. Their secondary structure includes four short double-helical elements and three loops (D, anti-codon, and T loops). Further hydrogen bonds mediate the characteristic L-shaped molecular structure. tRNAs have two regions of fundamental functional importance: the anti-codon, which is responsible for specific mRNA codon recognition, and the 3' end, to which the tRNAs corresponding amino acid is attached (by aminoacyl-tRNA synthetases). tRNAs cope with the degeneracy of the genetic code in two manners: having more than one tRNA (with a specific anti-codon) for a particular amino acid; and 'wobble' base-pairing, i.e. permitting non-standard base-pairing at the 3rd anti-codon position. The record is from RNAcentral. Lineage: Bacteria; Pseudomonadati; Pseudomonadota; Gammaproteobacteria; Enterobacterales; Enterobacteriaceae. RNAcentral also lists the same sequence under 6 other names.